Molecule: ribosomal RNA, 811 nt
Filed under: Alternaria sp.
Lineage: Eukaryota; Fungi; Ascomycota; Dothideomycetes; Pleosporales; Pleosporaceae
Description: partial large subunit ribosomal RNA
Rfam family: Eukaryotic large subunit ribosomal RNA
Source: RNAcentral
CCAACAGGGAUUGCCCUAGUAACGGCGAGUGAAGCGGCAACAGCUCAAAUUUGAAAUCUGGCUCUUUUAGAGUCCGAGUUGUAAUUUGCAGAGGGCGCUUUGGCUUUGGCAGCGGUCCAAGUUCCUUGGAACAGGACGUCACAGAGGGUGAGAAUCCCGUACGUGGUCGCUGGCUAUUGCCGUGUAAAGCCCCUUCGACGAGUCGAGUUGUUUGGGAAUGCAGCUCUAAAUGGGAGGUACAUUUCUUCUAAAGCUAAAUAUUGGCCAGAGACCGAUAGCGCACAAGUAGAGUGAUCGAAAGAUGAAAAGCACUUUGGAAAGAGAGUCAAACAGCACGUGAAAUUGUUGAAAGGGAAGCGCUUGCAGCCAGACUUGCUUACAGUUGCUCAUCCGGGUUUCUACCCGGUGCACUCUUCUGUAGGCAGGCCAGCAUCAGUUUGGGCGGUAGGAUAAAGGUCUCUGUCACGUACCUCCUUUCGGGGAGGCCUUAUAGGGGAGACGACAUACUACCAGCCUGGACUGAGGUCCGCGCAUCUGCUAGGAUGCUGGCGUAAUGGCUGUAAGCGGCCCGUCUUGAAACACGGACCAAGGAGUCUAACAUCUAUGCGAGUGUUUGGGUGUCAAGCCCGAGCGCGUAAUGAAAGUGAACGGAGGUGGGAACCCGCAAGGGUGCACCAUCGACCGAUCCUGAUGUCUUCGGAAGGAUUUGAGUAAGAGCAUGGCUGUUGGGACCCGAAAGAUGGUGAACUAUGCUUGAAUAGGGUGAAGCCAGAGGAAACUCUGGUGGAGGCUCGCAGCGGUUCUGACGUGC